Molecule: ribosomal RNA, 440 nt
Filed under: uncultured bacterium
Lineage: Bacteria
Description: partial 16S ribosomal RNA
Rfam family: Bacterial small subunit ribosomal RNA
Source: RNAcentral
CCUACGGGGGGCAGCAGUGGGGAAUAUUGCACAAUGGGGGAAACCCUGAUGCAGCGACGCCGCGUGAGUGAAGAAGUAUCUCGGUACGUAAAGCUCUAUCAGCAGGGAAGAUAAUGCCGGUACCUGACCCAGAAGCCCCGGCUAACUACGUGCCAGCAGCCGCGGUAAUACGUAGGGGGCAAGCGUUAUCCGGAUUUACUGGGUGUUAAGGGAGCGUAGACGGCAGAACAAGUCUGGAGUGAAAUCCCGGGGCUUAACCCCGGAACUGCUUUGGAAACUGUGCGGCUAGAGUGCGGGAGGGGUAAGCGGAAUUCCUAGUGUAGCGGUGAAAUGCGUAGAUAUUAGGAGGAACACCGGUGGCGAAGGCGGCUUACUGGACUGUAACUGACGUUGAGGCUCGAAAGCGUGGGGAGCGAACAGGAUUAGAUACCCUAGUAGUC